Molecule: non-coding RNA, 103 nt
Organism: Ictidomys tridecemlineatus (thirteen-lined ground squirrel)
Lineage: Eukaryota; Metazoa; Chordata; Mammalia; Rodentia; Sciuridae
Source: Rfam
AUCUUUUGUGGUUCAUAAAUGCGCUGAUUGGGUUUUCAUACCACUGUGUAAGCUGUGUCUCCCUUAAACCUUGUUACCAUGUUGGAAUAUUACCCCUCUGACA